AUUGAACGCUGGCGGCAGGCUUAACACAUGCAAGUCGAGCGGAGACUUCGGUCUUAGCGGCGAACGGGUGAGUAAUACCUAGGAAUCUGCCUAUUAGUGGGGGAUAACGAAUCGAAAGGUUCGCUAAUACCGCAUACGUCCUACGGGAGAAAGGGGGGGAGUCUUCGGACCUCUCGCUAAUAGAUGAGCCUAGGCCGGAUUAGCUAGUUGGUAGGGUAAAGGCCUACCAAGGCGACGAUCUGUAGCUGGUCUGAGAGGAUGGCCAGCCACACUGGAACUGAGACACGGUCCAGACUCCUACGGGAGGCAGCAGUGGGGAAUAUUGGACAAUGGGGGCAACCCUGAUCCAGCCAUGCCGCGUGUGUGAAGAAGGCCUUCGGUUGUAAGACACUUUAAGCGAGGAGG
RNAcentral lists this ribosomal RNA (405 nucleotides) under uncultured bacterium. Its description in RNAcentral is "bacterial SSU rRNA". It matches the Rfam family "Bacterial small subunit ribosomal RNA", at positions 30 to 447 of the family's 1533-position model. The record is from RNAcentral.